This 1185-nucleotide long non-coding RNA is filed under the name Medicago truncatula (barrel medic). Its description in RNAcentral is "lncRNA gene47224". The record is from RNAcentral. Lineage: Eukaryota; Viridiplantae; Streptophyta; Magnoliopsida; Fabales; Fabaceae.
UUAUAGUAUGAUUAUCUUUCUUUCCCUAUUUUUGGUUGCAACAAAGGCUGAAUGUAAACCAUUUUUAACCAUUUAAAAUUUUCUUCUCUACUUCCCACACAAUAUAUUAUCCCAUUUUAGUUACACUUUUUAUUCUCUCUUUUUUUGUGACAAGGUAUUAUCCAUGUAAUACUGAUUCUGAUUGUCCACAAAAUAUGUGCUCCCCUGAUAUGGAACCGAGGUGUUGGACUGGAUAUUGUAGCAGUUGUUAUAUAAGGACUGGAAAUGAGUCGAGUCGAACCGAACCUGUCUGAACUCGACUCGAUAAGAAUUGGUUCGGCUCGAAACUCGGCUCGAGUUCGACACAAACUAUUUUUUCAGCUCGAGUUCACUCGUUUAAAGUCGCCAUUGGACAAUCUCUUCAACCUCAUCUGUACUUAAUGAUCUUGACAUCGCUACCAUGUCUUCAAAGUGUCAGUCUUUGUAUAAAUUAUUGUAUAACAUGUCAUACACCUAAUUUAUUUAACACCAUGCAGAAAAGUAAUAUAUAAAUCUUAUGGUAUAAGAAAUAAAAAAUAUGAUGAAUAGAGAUCUUUUGUUCCCAGACGGACAUUUGUAUAACGUGUAUACAAACUUGACUAUGUUUCUCUAGGUAAAUUUAAAUAUAAUAUGGCAUACACAAAUAUAAUUUAUUUAACACCAUAUAGAAAAGUAAUAUAUAAUAUGAGCAUGUCCAAAGCCGGCCCUAAUAUUUUUGGUGCCGUGAGUGAAAUAGUAAAUUGUGCUGUUUUAAUUAUUCAAAUAUUUUCUUCUUGUUGUAAAAUAUUCAUUUAUAAUCAAAGUUAUCUAAAAAUAUUUUUUCAAUAGAAUUAAUCAAAGCGAAUUAAAAAGAUAUAUAUCUAUAUAGUACUAACUAUUAAGUAAAAAUUAUAAUUUUGGUGCCCCUGAAAAAAUGGUGCCCUGGACUGUCGCCCCUUGCGCCCGCCCUCAGGACAACCCCUGAGCUUGUCUCUUGUAUACUUCCAGUCUAGUUUGGAGAGUUCCAAUCCGUUUAGGUCAUUUUCCAUUGGUCUUACCGUCCAUUUGCUCCAAAAUUAACCCCUAAAGAAUCAAAAGUCUUACAAAAUUAACCUAUAAACAAUCAACAAUCUUAUAAAAAGGCAUCAUAAACAGUAACAAAUAACCCUCUUGACAUAAAAAAGGCUC